AACUUUUUUCUCCCCGAAGUUUGCAUUAUAAUCUUUCCACUGAUUUUCAGCAAGGGAAUCAGAGCUACAGAACAUAAGCAUUUUUAUGGUAUACUGAAGGGAAUGUAGCUGGGAACAUCUAGCUUCGAAUCAUGGUUGUCAGUUAUCUGUUAAAUGGGCAGUUUACUCAUGUGACAAAUGGAGAAACUAAUAGCAUCCUAACAUAUGAAAUAUAGGUAGUAUCUCACUUAUUGGUUGAAAUACAGGUGCUCAGGAUAGUGGAAGCUUUUCUUAGAGCUGGCAUUUUUCCUUAAAGGGUGUUGGUCUCUGUAAUGUAAGAGAGUAUAUUACAUAUGUAUGUAAGAGAGUACCAUUCAGCUGUGACCAUAUACUUUAGUCCUUAAACUGGGACACUUUAGUCCCAAACCAGUGCCAAAUCAUGUGGUACAUCAAGAUAAAUGUAAACUGGGAUCAGCCUCACUUGGGACACGUGUCAUCCUGAAAUUAAACCGCAUCUUCACCAUUAUUAUGCAUUUUUUUUAAGUUAUACAUUUUUCAGGUGAAAAUUGACAUGUUUUGGUUUAAAUUUAUUUGAUUACAAAUAAUGUUGAAUUAUAUACUGCCCAACGGAGUAAAAUUCUCCAUUUAAACGUAAUCUUGGAGUUCCAAGGCUAGGGGUCCAAUCGGAAAUGCAGCCACCAGCCUACGCCAGAGCCACAGCAACAUGGGAUCUGAGCCGUGUCUGCGCCCUACACCACAGCUCACGGCAACGCCGGAUCCUUAACCCACUGAGCAAGGGCAGGGAUCGACCCCGCAACCUCAUGGCUCCUAGUCGGAUUCGUUAACCACUGCGCCACGACGGGAACUCCAAAUCUUAAAUAUUAUCUCUCUUUUUUUUUUUAAUGUGUUCUUCUGAAAAAGACAUAAGAAAAAAUAGCUAUGUAAUGUCAAGUCACUCUUUCUAAAUAUAGAGACAGUCUUAUACAGUGCUCCUUGAAGUUUCUAAUAACCCAGUGUUUGCAACAUUCUUGAUUGCUUUCAGGAUUUUUUUUUUUCCUCUUUUCUUGGUAUUAAUUUCUCUGGAUAAACUUGCAUAUUUUAUUAUUCCUUUUGUAAGCCAUAAGGAGAGCUAUUAUAGCAUUCAUCUGAGGUUUUUUUUGGUUUUUGUUUUUUAAACAAGGACUUAAACUAAAGCACCACUUGUACCAGGCAGUGUACUCAGUUCUGGGGACACAGUGGUUUUAUUAUGAAAAUGUAGACAUAACAAGGUGAUUAUAGCAUAGUGGGAUAAUUUUAUCAAAGCAGAUGUGUGAUGCACAAGUAAGGGCACUUAGCCUGGACUUGGGGAACCUGGAAAGUUUCCAGAAAGAAGGAAUUUCCGAGCUAAGACCUGAUAAAUGAGCAGUACAUGUGUAACCUCUUGCUUGUCUGCCAUGUGUGUUAGUACUGCUGUAUUAGUUCAGGCUGGUGGUCCCCCCACCUUCCAUUCUUUCUAUAAUUAGUAAACAGUAUUGUAUCAAGAGACAAAUUAUAUACGAUCACUAAAAUUGGCCCCCCAUUUCAAGAUCUCAACUGCACAUGUAUCUGUCUCUUAGUAGUUUCUCUUAAACCCUUUGAAAGUCCUGCAAAUUCCUGGCCUAUAUCAAUUUUGAUAGUGAAUUUCAUAUUAAACACUUAAAAUAUGACUAUUAAAAAUUUAACCUUCACUUUAUACCUCAAAUUAUGUUGUUUUCAGAAGAAAAGACAUUGAAAUAAUUGUGUUCAUGUAUAGUUUACAUGUUGAAGUGUAAGACUGAUUAUGACUCUCCUUAAAGACUUCUACAUUCUAAUAAUUGUUGUGUUCUUAAAGCUUGUAUGGGUGCUCUAGAGGAUAAUGAGUUGGUCAGUGCGCCUCGGGUACUAGUUAUAGUAGGAUAGUUGGUUUUAGUUACCACUUUUACAUAAGUUACAUAUUUUUGUUUGUUGAAUUUGAGUUAUCAUUCUUAUUACUGUGUUGUAAUUCCAUCUCAAAAAUGGGGGGGUGCUGGUUCAUUCAAUCAUAAAAGUAGUAAAUAAAUCACAGUAUCUCAGAGUAAUAUAAAUGUGAUCCUUGAACAGAACUGCAGUGCCUAAAGUGUUCUGAGGAGAGUUGGGCUUGGCUCCUUAGGAAACAUUGGCAGUGUUUUGGAGACAUUUAUUAUCACUUUAGGGAGUGCUGCUAGCAUCUAGUGUAUGGAAGCCAGGGGUGCUGUGAAACAUCCUGCAGUUCACAGGCCAGGACCCCCCCCCCCCCGCAAAGAUUAUCUUGCCCUAAAUGUCAAUAGUUCUCAGUUUAAGAAACCCUGGCUUCAGUGGAAUGUGGGUCUGUACAUUCUGGGAAUGAGAAUUUAAGAAUGUGAUGAUUUAUACAAGCAAUGGAGAAGAAAAGUGUGAAUAGGAAUCACUAUGGCACAUGCCUCAAAAGUAGGUUUUAUUGACUUCAUGAAUAAUUUGCCUACUUAUCCCCAAAGUUCUUGGUUAUUUAUGAGACUUUGUCAAGUGGUGGCCUUGUGCCACCAAAACAUUUGCGUGAUUUAAAACUAUAAUUACUGUUUUUGUAAAUCAGUAAAGUUUUUCCAGGAGUUCCUGUCAUGGCUCAGUGGUUAGCGAAUCUGACUAGGAGCCAUGAGGUUGUGGGUUCAAUCCCUGGCCUUGCUAAGUGGGUUAAGGAUCUGGCGUUGCUGUGGCUCUGGUGUAGGCCGGAGGCUGCAGCUCCGAUUAG
Molecule: long non-coding RNA, 2719 nt
Filed under: Sus scrofa (pig)
Lineage: Eukaryota; Metazoa; Chordata; Mammalia; Artiodactyla; Suidae
Description: lncRNA (ENSSSCG00050066462.1)
Source: RNAcentral